GCCGCCUUAUUUCAAUGGCAGAAUACCCGUUUGAAAGUCGGGAGAUCUUUGGUUCGAAUCCAGGGGGUGGCACCA
RNAcentral lists this transfer RNA (75 nucleotides) under marine sediment metagenome. RNAcentral's name for it is "tRNA-Phe". It matches the Rfam family "tRNA". From Rfam's summary of the family: Transfer RNA (tRNA) molecules are approximately 80 nucleotides in length. The record is from RNAcentral.